RNAcentral lists this long non-coding RNA (232 nucleotides) under Lathyrus oleraceus (garden pea). Its description in RNAcentral is "Pisum sativum (pea) long non-coding RNA (PSAT_LNC005771)". The record is from RNAcentral. Lineage: Eukaryota; Viridiplantae; Streptophyta; Magnoliopsida; Fabales; Fabaceae.
GCAAUCUUUUCAUCUGCAUAAUGAUUGUCUUGUUUGAUUUCCAAAAAGCUUUUCAUAUCAAAAUCAUUAUGCAGGUUGAUUCUUAAACCCAUUGAACAUAAUGAUCCGACGUCAUCUCCCAAUUUUGAAUUCCCUGUAUUCGAAACGGAAGAAGAUGAUGUUGAAGGGAUUCCUGACGAGAUUUCCCGACUUGAGCAAGAAAAGAAGAUCACUCAGCUGCAUCUCGAGAAUC